GACGAACGCUGGCGGCGCGCCUAACACAUGCAAGUCGAACGAGCGAGAGGAGGUUUACUUUCUCAAGCGAGUGGCGAACGGGUGAGUAACGCGUGAGGAACCUGCCUCAAAGAGGGGGACAACAGUUGGAAACGACUGCUAAUACCGCAUAAGCCCACGACCCGGCAUCGGGUAGAGGGAAAAGGAGCAAUCCGCUUUGAGAUGGCCUCGCGUCCGAUUAGCUAGUUGGUGAGGUAAUGGCCCACCAAGGCGACGAUCGGUAGCCGGACUGAGAGGUUGAACGGCCACAUUGGGACUGAGACACGGCCCAGACUCCUACGGGAGGCAGCAGUGGGGAAUAUUGCACAAUGGGGGAAACCCUGAUGCAGCGACGCCGCGUGGAGGAAGAAGGUCUUCGGAUUGUGAACUCCUGUUGUUGAGGAAGAUAAUGACGGUACUCAACAAGGAAGUGACGGCUAACUACGUG
This 466-nucleotide ribosomal RNA is filed under the name uncultured bacterium. RNAcentral's name for it is "partial 16S ribosomal RNA". It matches the Rfam family "Bacterial small subunit ribosomal RNA", at positions 28 to 507 of the family's 1533-position model. The record is from RNAcentral.